Molecule: non-coding RNA, 3482 nt
Organism: Callithrix jacchus (white-tufted-ear marmoset)
Lineage: Eukaryota; Metazoa; Chordata; Mammalia; Primates; Cebidae
Source: RefSeq, a predicted model, not a curated record
AGGACCUCUGUUGACCAACUCACUGACAGGGCAGAUGUGACACCACCUGCUGCCUCUCAAUCACUCCUCGCUUCUCAUCUUCGAUCCUUUCUUACUAGGUGGCAGAGGGAGGGACUGGGCCUCCACAGGUCCCAGGUAGGUCCUUUUUCUUGGUCUGGGUUUUCCUACCUGAGGAAUAGAGCCGGCUAAGGAAAGGCCUAACCAGGAUAUGCCAGUGUCGUGUGGCCUGUGCUCACUGCUGCCUUCUGUGGGGACACAAUCCCAACCCCAGCUCCUUGUCCUGUUCCUGCCAACAGGCCCCCAGAGUAGGUGGCUCAGAGUGGUGUGCCUAUACCUGCCUCCUCCUCCAUGGGGAUGUAGCAAGGCCACCGUGCCUUACAUGAGCACACAGGCAGCAACGAGGGGCUGGACUGGAGCUGGCCAGGCAGGCAGGAUGGAGUGGGUGGGAGCAGAGGACAGGCUAGUGAAGCCCUCUGGGGAACAUGGUUGUGACUAGGGAUAUUGGAACAAAAAGUCACAAGUGGAAGAAAAGACGGAGUCAUAAGUAUAUUUGUCCUUCCUUCCUCUCCUCUCCGGCCCUCCCUCCCUUCCUUCAGCAGUGACCAACGACUCUCCCAUCCAGGCCCUGUGGAGGGGACACAGGCGUGAGCCACGGGCCCAGGCUCUGUCCUAUGGGAGCGUGGGUCCGAGGACAAAGUUAACCAGAUGGGAAGGCGCAGUUCGGGAAAGGGAAACAGACACUCUACCUGCACACGGGCCAGGCAGGGCCUGAAAGGCAGUGCGAAUUACAGGGAAAAGGCGGAGCGGGAGGAAGAAUGCUCCAGGGCGAGGAAGCCGCCGCAGCGAUCUGGAGUGCCGUGGGGAGCAGGUGCGGAGGAAGAAGCCCAGUCCUGGGACACGCAGGCCAGCUCCAGGCAGGGGGAAGGAGGGGCGGGAGAAGCGGGAGACCAGAGAGUGUCCCCUCAGUCUGGCGCCUCAGGAUGACCCGGGCAGCCUUCAGCGUGGGCCGCCGCUGUUCCGGGGAGGCGCCAUCAGAGGUUCGGGGAGGGUGGACGAUGCGGCUGGGCUGCCGAGAAUCCAGGGGCUGCAGGCGAGGGUGGGGACUCGCGGUGAAACCUGAAGGUCAGGGCUGGUGGCAGAGACCGCGGCCGCUGCCACGGACAGCCGGGCGCGCCGUCGUGGCGUCAUCAGUGCGCGCCGCCCCCACUUCUGAGCGCACAAGUGGUCGCCCCGACAGCCCGAGUGUUCCGGGAACGCGAUCCUACUUGGCGGCCCUCCCUGCUUGGAUCUGCCACUCCUGAGGCUGAGGACGUUCAUUCCUUUUUCAAAAAUGGAUACCCAGGAAGCCUCUCGGUGCUCCCCUGUGCCCGGGUACUGAGCUGGGCCCGGGUGGUCUGCGGCCGGGGGCCCCGCCCCUCAGCGCAGGCGACCCUCCUACUGGCCCUGGCGGGCACAGCGCAUCUCCCGUGACCUGUGCGGGCCCGCAGGAUGAGCCCCCGGAUCACGAUCGCAGCAUUUUAUUUACCUUCCUUUCUCCGUUACAACCCCAGGCGAGUCUCCCGGGCCCCAAGAGGAGGUGGUGACUGGCCAGGGCCAUCGGCAGCGGCAGCAGGGGACUGCAUAGCGCUGCCUCGGGCCGACUAGCAGGCUGGUCUUGAGCCUCGGCGGCCCCAGUCCCCAGCGCAUGGAAUGUGCCCCGGGUCCCAGGAGCUCCUGGAGCCGCGCUUGUGAGACAGGGCUUGGGCUGCUUGGAGCUAGUGAGCCAUCGGCCAUGGCAGGCAUUUCAACAGAGCUUGGAGGCAAAGGGGUGAGAUGGUGCAUCCAUUGAGGUCACUUCAGGAGAUGACACUCCUGUGGCUAACUGUAGCCUCCCAAGUCAUGGCUCCCAGAAAUACGUUUGUCUGUUGCUGGAUGGCUUUGCCCCUGACUGGACACACUGUGACCUGGCUACCCCUCCAGAAACACUCCAAGAAGCUUCAUCUCUGGCCUCAGGGUAGGCUCCUUCAAUGGCAGUGCUAACCUUGGGAGGGAGCAGUGGUGUGAUCCCAGCUCACUGCAGCCUCCGACUCCUGAGCUACAGUGAUCCUCCCUUCUCAGCCUCCCAAGUAGCUGGCACUAAUAUCCAUCAUUACACCCAGCGAAGUUUUUGGAAAGACAGGGUCUUGCCAUGCUGCCCAGGCUGGUCUCAAACUCCUGGGCUCAAGCACGCCACCGACCUCAGCCUCCCAAAGCACUGAAAUUACAGCAGGUGGUUGAGCGCCUCAUUCACACUCUUGUUGUUGUGGCUCUGGACCGACCGCAGAGCACUCACAGUCACUAGAGAUUCUGACCCAGACAGGCAGCAAGGUCCUUAGUACCCACCGCCAUGGAUGCAGAGCAGAAUGGUGACCUGGCCUCAUCACAAAGCUUCACCUGCGGCACUGGUGAGCCCCCAGACUCAGCCACAGGCCACUGUGGGUCCACUCAUGUCAGAGCUCUAGGAACUGUCAGCCUUCCAGGCUGGCCCUUUACUCGGCAGCAGCAGGGCCAGCUCAGAGGGUCUCAACCAGACAUCUAACAAAAAGAAGGGCAGUCAGGGUGUGAUGUGGGGCUGAGGGGGCGGGUAGGGACCCAAGCUCACCUUCUGCAGUGAGUCACCUCAAAGCACCACCUGCUUCCCUACCAACUGCAAGGCUCCUUGGGCCUCCCUGGAAGGAGAGGAACCAUCUAAGGACAAGCCCAUUUCACUGAGGUUCUUGCGGGGCAUCAUGUGAGUGGGCAGACUUGAAGUGGGGCACCAGCAGUCCUGGCUUCUCUUGUGGGACACCUGGGACGAUGUGUGCUCUGGGCCUUUUAAACGGGUCCAUGCAGCAUGGCCGGAACACCGUUUAAGGUGGAGCACAAUUGUCAUGUUCCCACCUAGUUCCUCUGGUGCUGAGGCCUUCGAGGGAUACACACAUCUCUGCUGGGUUAAGCUGCUGGGGUCUGGAGUCCUCUGCACCACAAGAGGAAUCGGGGGCCCUCUGGAGAGUCCUCCAGAUCCAAGCUUGGAGACAGUAUGGGGAGAGCCUACCAGCCAUGUGCCAGGACGUGGAGCACUGGCAGGCCCGUGCCCACUAGCAUGGUCAACUAGCACCCCAGAAGACAUGGUAGUAUCCCUGUUUUAUAGAAGAGAAAACUGAAGGCCAGGAGUGGUGGCUCAUGCCUGUAAUCCCAGCACUUUGGGAGGCCAAGGUGGGCGGAUCACCCGAGGUCAGGAGUUAGAGAUGAGCCUGGCCAACACAGUGAAACCCUGUUUCUACUAAAACUACAAAAUUUAGCCAGGUAUGGUGGCAUGUGCCUGUAGUUCCAGCUACUCAGAAGGCUGAAGCAGGAGAAUCACUUGAACCCAGGAGGCGGAGGUUGCAGUGAAUCUAGAUUGUGCCACUGCACUCCAACCUGGGUGACAGAGUGAGACUGCGUCUUAAAUAAAUAAAUAAAAUUUAAAAAGAGAGAAAACUGAA